CCAGACUCCUACGGGAGGCAGCAGUGAGGAAUAUUGGUCAAUGGGCGGGAGCCUGAACCAGCCAAGUCGCGUGAGGGGUGACGGCCCUAUGGGUUGUAAACCUCUUUUGCCGGGGAGCAAAAAGCGGUACGUGUACCGCAUCGAGAGUACCCGGAGAAAAAGCAUCGGCUAACUCCGUGCCAGCAGCCGCGGUAAUACGGAGGAUGCGAGCGUUAUCCGGAUUUAUUGGGUUUAAAGGGUGCGCAGGCGGGGAGUUAAGUCAGGGGUAAAACCGCGGGGCUCAACCUCGCGCCGCCGUUGAAACUGGCGUUCUUGAGUGGGCGAGAAGUAUGCGGAAUGCGUGGUGUAGCGGUGAAAUGCAUAGAUAUCACGCAGAACUCCGAUUGCGAAGGCAGCAUACCGGCGCCCAACUGACGCUGAAGCACGAAAGCGUGGGUAUCGAACAGGAUUAGAUACCCUAGUAAGC
RNAcentral lists this ribosomal RNA (466 nucleotides) under uncultured bacterium. RNAcentral describes it as "bacterial SSU rRNA". It matches the Rfam family "Bacterial small subunit ribosomal RNA", at positions 331 to 795 of the family's 1533-position model. The record is from RNAcentral.